This 30-nucleotide non-coding RNA is filed under the name Homo sapiens (human). Lineage: Eukaryota; Metazoa; Chordata; Mammalia; Primates; Hominidae. The record is from RNAcentral.
AUGGGUGCAAAGGUCUCACUGAGAUCCAAU